RNAcentral lists this ribosomal RNA (1267 nucleotides) under Ambohima sublima. Its description in RNAcentral is "SSU rRNA". It matches the Rfam family "Eukaryotic small subunit ribosomal RNA", at positions 49 to 1315 of the family's 1831-position model. The record is from RNAcentral. Lineage: Eukaryota; Metazoa; Arthropoda; Arachnida; Araneae; Phyxelididae.
CCAUGCAUGUCUAAGUACAUGCCGUAUUAAGGCGAAACCGCGAAUGGCUCAUUAAAUCAGUUAUGGUUCCUUGGAUCGUACCUUACUACUUGGAUAACUGUGGCAAUUCUAGAGCUAAUACAUGCAGCAGAGCUCCGACCUUCGGGGACGAGCGCUUUUAUUAGACCAAAACCAAUCGGACCUCGCGUCCGUUUCUGGUGGUGACUCUGUAUAACUUUGGGCUGAUCGCACGGGCCUGUCCCGGCGACGUAUCUUUCAAGUGUCUGCCUUAUCAACUUUCGAUGGUAGGUUACGCGCCUACCAUGGUCGUAACGGGUAACGGGGAAUCAGGGUUCGAUUCCGGAGAGGGAGCCUGAGAAACGGCUACCACAUCCAAGGAAGGCAGCAGGCGCGCAAAUUACCCACUCCCGGAACGGGGAGGUAGUGACGAAAAAUAACAAUACGGGACUCUUUUGAGACCCCGUAAUUGGAAUGAGUACACUCUAAAUCCUUUAACGAGGAUCUAUUGGAGGGCAAGUCUAGUGCCAGCAGCCGCGGUAAUUCUAGCUCCAAUAGCGUAUAUUAAAGUUGUUGCGGUUAAAAAGCUCGUAGUUGGAUCUCAGUUCCAGACGGGUGGUCCGCCUACCGGUGGUUACUGCCUGUUCUGAACAGCCAGCCGGUUUCUCUUGAUGAUCUUCACCGGUUGUCUUGGGUGACCGGCAAGUUUACUUUGAAAAAAUUAGAGUGCUCAAAGCAGGCGUGACGCCUGAAUAAUGGUGCAUGGAAUAAUGGAAUAGGACCUCGGUUCUAUUUUGUUGGUUUUCGGAACACGAGGUAAUGAUUAAGAGGGACAGACGGGGGCAUUCGUAUUGCGACGCUAGAGGUGAAAUUCUUGGACCGUCGCAAGACGAACUACUGCGAAAGCAUUUGCCAAGAAUGUUUCCAUUAAUCAAGAACGAAAGUUAGAGGUUCGAAGGCGAUCAGAUACCGCCCUAGUUCUAACCAUAAACGAUGCCAGCCAGCGAUCCGGCUGUGUUCCUCAAAUGACACGCCGGGCAGCUUCCGGGAAACCAAAGCUUUUGGGUUCCGGGGGAAGUAUGGUUGCAAAGCUGAAACUUAAAGGAAUUGACGGAGGGGCACCACCAGGAAUGGAGCCUGCGGCUUAAUUUGACUCAACACGGGAAAACUUACCCGGCCCGGACGCAGGAAGGAUUGACAGAUUAAGAGCUCUUUCUUGAUUCUGCGGGGUGUGGUGCAUGGCCGUUCUUAGUUGGUGGAUCGAUUUGUC